UUCCUCCUCUCCUCCAUCAAAGCUCUUCCCUUUCUCUCUUUCCAUCAAGCCAAUGCCUAAGUUUCUUUCCAAGCUGCUGCCUCCAUUUUUCUUUCUUUCUUCUUCAUAAGUUUAGGGGAGGUACUAACUCUAACGCAAUAUCAUAUCCUUUCAUAGAUCCAUUCUCCACAUCCAAAAAAGUCUAGGAGAGGUCCUAACCCUAGCACGCCUUCUAUCAAAUCUAAGAGAGGUCCUAAUCCUAGUAUCGCUAUCCUUUCCAUAUUUUCAUACCCUCUUCCAUCUACCUUUCUUCCUUGGAGUUCCUAGACCAAGCCUUCCAGCCAUCUUACCGCUGUCUGCAUGGAGGAAGACG
Molecule: long non-coding RNA, 352 nt
Filed under: Elaeis guineensis (African oil palm)
Lineage: Eukaryota; Viridiplantae; Streptophyta; Magnoliopsida; Arecales; Arecaceae
Description: long non-coding RNA (EGUI_LNC055253)
Source: RNAcentral